UACGUAGGGUGCGAGCGUUGUCCGGAAUUAUUGGGCGUAAAGGGCUCGUAGGCGGUUUGUCGCGUCGGGAGUGAAAUCCUACGGCUUAACUGUGGGCUUGCUUUCGAUACGGGCAGACUAGAGGUAUGCAGGGGAGAACGGAAUUCCUGGUGUAGCGGUGGAAUGCGCAGAUAUCAGGAGGAACACCGGUGGCGAAGGCGGGUCUCUGGGCAGUAACUGACGCUGAGGAGCGAAAGCGUGGGGAGCGAACAGG
RNAcentral lists this ribosomal RNA (253 nucleotides) under uncultured bacterium. RNAcentral's name for it is "partial 16S ribosomal RNA". It matches the Rfam family "Bacterial small subunit ribosomal RNA", at positions 524 to 776 of the family's 1533-position model. The record is from RNAcentral.